UCGAACGGUAACGCGGGGGCAACCCUGGCGACGAGUGGCGAACGGGUGAGUAAUACAUCGGAACAUGUCCAUAAGUGGGGGAUAGCCCGGCGAAAGCCGGAUUAAUACCGCAUACGCUCUGAGGAGGAAAGUGGGGGACCCGCAAGGGCCUCACGCUUUAGGAGUGGCCGAUGUCGGAUUAGCUAGUUGGGGGGGUAAAGGCCCACCAAGGCGACGAUCCGUAGCUGGUCUGAGAGGAUGAUCAGCCACACUGGGACUGAGACACGGCCCAGACUCCUACGGGAGGCAGCAGUGGGGAAUUUUGGACAAUGGGGGCAACCCUGAUCCAGCCAUGCCGCGUGAGUGAAGAAGGCCUUCGGGUUGUAAAGCUCUUUCGGACGGAACGAAAUGGUUAUGGUGAAUAUCCAUGACUGAUGACGGUACUGUAAGAAGAAGCACCGGCUAACUACGUGCCAGCAGCCGCGGUAAUACGUAGGGUGCGAGCGUUAAUCGGAAUUACUGGGCGUAAAGCGUGCGCAGGCGGCCGCGCAAGUCAGGUGUGAAAUCCCCGGGCUUAACCUGGGAAUUGCGCUUGAAACUAUGCGGCUAGAGUGUGGCAGAGGGGGGUGGAAUUCCACGUGUAGCAGUGAAAUGCGUAGAGAUGUGGAGGAACACCGAUGGCGAAGGCAGCCCCCUGGGCCAACACUGACGCUCAGGCACG
This 700-nucleotide ribosomal RNA is filed under the name uncultured bacterium. RNAcentral describes it as "bacterial SSU rRNA". It matches the Rfam family "Bacterial small subunit ribosomal RNA", at positions 62 to 755 of the family's 1533-position model. The record is from RNAcentral.